RNAcentral lists this ribosomal RNA (223 nucleotides) under uncultured bacterium. Its description in RNAcentral is "partial 16S ribosomal RNA". It matches the Rfam family "Bacterial small subunit ribosomal RNA", at positions 111 to 334 of the family's 1533-position model. The record is from RNAcentral.
UAACGCGUGGGUAACCUGCCUCAUACAGGGGGAUAACAGUUAGAGAUGACUGCUAAUACCGCAUAAGCGCACAGUGCUGCAUGGCACAGUGUGAAAAACUCCGGUGGUAUGAGAUGGACCCGCGUCUGAUUAGCUAGUUGGUGGGGUAACGGCCUACCAAGGCGACGAUCAGUAGCCGGCCUGAGAGGGUGAACGGCCACAUUGGGACUGAGACACGGCCCAA